Molecule: ribosomal RNA, 378 nt
Filed under: uncultured soil bacterium
Lineage: Bacteria
Description: bacterial SSU rRNA
Rfam family: Bacterial small subunit ribosomal RNA
Source: RNAcentral
AGAUUGAACGCUGGCGGCAUGCCUAACACAUGCAAGUCGAACGGGAGUAGCAAUACUCUAGUGGCGGACGGGUGAGGAAUACGUAGGAAUUUGCCCUUAAGUGGGGGAUAACCCGGGGAAACCCGGAUUAAUACCGCAUGACCUCGAAAGAGCAAAGUGGGGAUCGCAAGACCUCACGCUUUUGGAGAAGCCUACGUCGGAUUAGCUAGUUGGUGAGGUAAUGGCUCACCAAGGCGACGAUCCGUAAACUGGUCUGAGACGGAUGAUCAGUCACACCGGAACUGAGACACGGUCCGGACUCCGUACGGGAGCAGCAGUGGGAAUAGUUGGACAAGUGGGCGCGAAGCCUGAUCCAGCAAGUGCCGCGUGUGUGAAGAA